GAACGUUUCUGGCAAGGCACACAGCGGGUUGGUUUGCUGAUGAGCGGAGAGGACGGUGGCUGCGCAGGCGUCGCUGGAAGACUGGGCAGUGGGAGAGAUGUUGAGAGUGAUGGAGAGAGAGAGAGAGAGAAAUACGUGGUUGUGAUGCGCAACGAAGGGAUGCCGGUGUCUAUGGCCGUCACCGCUGCUCGUGGUUUGCUGCGAUCGCCGCCGGAGAAGAAAAACCGAGCAGGAAGAGAGGGG
RNAcentral lists this unclassified non-coding RNA (243 nucleotides) under Hevea brasiliensis (rubber tree). Lineage: Eukaryota; Viridiplantae; Streptophyta; Magnoliopsida; Malpighiales; Euphorbiaceae. The record is from RNAcentral.